AGGCCUAGGAGAAACUCGAAUCCAAAUUUGC
This 31-nucleotide transfer RNA is filed under the name Bronchocela cristatella (Green crested lizard). RNAcentral's name for it is "partial tRNA-Cys". Lineage: Eukaryota; Metazoa; Chordata; Lepidosauria; Squamata; Agamidae. The record is from RNAcentral.